Molecule: long non-coding RNA, 5054 nt
Organism: Meriones unguiculatus (Mongolian gerbil)
Lineage: Eukaryota; Metazoa; Chordata; Mammalia; Rodentia; Muridae
Exons: 3
Source: RefSeq, a predicted model, not a curated record
UUUAAUUGUGUUUUCCUGCAUUUUUUUCAAGGGAUUUAUUAAUUUCUUCUUUAAUAGCCUCUAUCAUCUUCAUAAGACUGGACUGAAGAUCAUUUUUUUUUGUGUGUGUGUGUGUUCUGUCUGUUUUAAGAUAUCCUGGGCUUCGUGCAGUAUGGGAGCUGGGUUUUGGUGGUUCCAUAAUGCCCAGGUUCUUGUUGAUUAUGUUCUUAUGCUAGACUUUAGCCUUCUGGUUGUCUCUGGUACUGGCAGGUCUCUAGUAAUGCAGGUCACAUUGUGGGCCAGACAAUGGAUAACUGGGGAGCAGCUGUGGCUUACCAUUGUUCGCAGUGUUUUAGAGGGAGCAGCAGGCAGGGGGUGAGUGAGGUUAGUCUUACGUAGUAGUCCCUGAUGACCACAGGCCUCUGGGAAUGCAGGUAAAAUGUGAGUCUGAGAGCCUAGGGGACAGUGCUUUAGCUCACCACUGCUGGACCUGCCCCUGGGGAUGCAGCAGGCAGGGGGCUGUGGCAUAAGAGUUCCACAUGCCUGUCCAUGGUGGCAGCAGGCCUCUGGGUAUGCAGGCUGAGCUGAGGGCUGAUAACUGAAAUGUUUGACUUUAAAAGGCAGCGUUUUAUUGGAGAGCAGCAAAUGAUGAGGGCAAAUUUGAGUAUGCGUUUGAAAGUGAGGGGAAUAUAGCCUACCUGAUACCACAGGAGAGAAAAUUCCAGAUAGUGUGUUGAUUUUAGUAACAGAAUAGUCUAAUUCACAGAUUCAAACAUCUUCAUGAUCUCAGAGUAGGAUGAGUGCUUUACAUGACCACACACAGCCAUCGUCUACUGAGGACUGAGGACUGUGUAGAGGGCCUAGAGCACACUUGUCAUGUACUGUAUCUGCUGAGUGCAUCUCCAGCCCUAAAAUGUCUGUAAAGAGGCACAUAUUUAAAAAAAAAAAGAUGCAAGAUAUGUGUACUUAGAAUAAAUGACCCACCCCUAAAGGAAGUAUGACUUUGUGUAUGCGGAAAGUAAUUAAAGACUGAACUGCAAUGACACCAAAGUGAGAGUCCGUGAAUUCAGGAGAAAGCAGUGAGAGAAUGAGCAAAGCCACUCACCAGUCUUGUAAUUGCAAAGGCUCAUAUGCACACUAAAUCUGCUUCAGGAGCCACAAGGAGAGAUACCUAAACCCAGGUAUUACAUGCUUUCCCUUGUGUAUGAAGACUUGCAAAGAGAAAAGGAAAAGAAAAACAGUGGUGGAAAAUGGAGUGGAGAGGAUGGCAGUGAAGGUAGGAGGGAGUGUGGACUUGCUCAAAGCGCCACAUGAGCAUGCGUGGAAUCCCACUCAAUUCUACACUCCACAAGAUCAAUUUACAACUCAGAUACCAUCAAUGAUUAAAAGGUCAGACUUCACAGAAACAAAGACAGCACCUGCAGAGAUCCAGAGUUUGUCUCUCAGCACCAACAAUACCUUACCAGGUGGCCUAAGGUAACCUAGCAUUCCAACAGCUGUGGAUCCUCUGCCCUCUGCUGGUCAUUGCCAGGACUGCACGAGCACAAACAGGAUAGAAUGGGACCGUGAAAUAAAACAAUCUUUGAAUAUAGGCCGAACACUUGAAUGGGAACUUUAAAAGUCAUGAAACUCAGCUACACAGUGACUCUGUAGGAAUAAUUUUAGCAUGUUUUGUCAUGACAAAGAUGCUAGGCAAAACCAAAAUGAAGUAUGUUUUAAGUCUAUCAAAACUGGUUAAAAUUUAAAAAUUAUUCAUCCCAAAGGUGAGAAAAUCAAAGACUUCCAAAUGUUUUAAAGUGGUGAUGGGAAUGUUAAAUAAUAUAGCCCUGUCCGAAGCAUGUCAGGGAACUCGUGGUGUAACACAGUUGGUGGAAUGUUUGUUUGGCUUGCCUCAAACCCUGGAGUCAAUCUCAGUGAACUGUUUACUUCAGGCUGCAUGAUCUGCACCCACGCUCCCAGCGCUCAGGAAGUGGAGGUAAGAGAACCAAACGUGCAACAUCCUCCUUGGUGGUGUGUGACAAAACUUUUCCUGGGGCGGCACAACACACUCUCAUGGGUCUACUAACCCCAGACAGGUAACCCACAAAAACCAGAGUCCAUCUUCGUGAACCAAUGUGUUUUCUUGUCUUGCUUUCAGGAAUAUGGGUGAGGGGUUACUCACAGGAGCAGAAAUGACUCAAAGACAGCUGCAUCACCAAAGUCAAUCCCAGCAUGGGUGACAUACGACAAAGCUGGGAUUCUGGAGCACACUGCACAGCCUACAGGAGCUCAUCAGGUUGGAGGGUCCUUUCCAGAUAUCUGCAAAGCCAGAAAUGGGCUGAAGGGAAGACUGAUGCUGGGGUGAGGCUUUUGAGUUCCUGAGAACACAGAACAUACCCAGACUCUCACCAGCAGAAGGACCUUUGCGGUUUAAAGCAGGCUGUGUUGGGAAUAGGAUGCCACUGCAUCUGGGGUUCCUGAGGCACACCAGGCUGCUGUAUGAAUCCUGCUGCAAUUCCCAGAGGCUGGACAUACACCAGUAGAUUACAGGAUCCUCAGUGUUCCGGCAUGACUGACAGUUCCGGAGGCUGAACCAAUAACCACCCUGAGAAAGGUUCCAGGUGCCUUAAGCUUCCGUGGGAAAGGGAUCCUUUUGGCCACUGCAUGAAGGCUACAAAGACCCUUGACAGAAAUCAGAGGUGUCCUGGAAGGUUCUCUGACUCUGGAGGAGUAAGGUAGAAAGAGAAAAGCAGCAGCAGCGACCGCAAAGAUACAGCCAAGCUCUUCUCCUUGCCAACAGGCCCUAGUCCCUGGGUGAAUGGCAAGAGGAAGGUCAGCAUGUGGCCUGCUGCACACCAUGCAGGAAACCCAUGGCAAGACAAAACUGGACCUAGAGGGCUCUAGGGAAGCUACAAUGGCAUAGUGAUGUCCAGGAAAUUGCAACACUCCCUCGUGGAGAGAGAAGACUCACGUGUUGGAAACUUAGUACGCACAAGGUGACUGUACAAGGUUAUCCAGUGAACAGACCACUGAAAGGGGGCGGAGCUUCUCUGGCCACCUUGUUGAGUUACCUCCAAGCCAUGCAGGAGGAGGACACAGGGAUGCAACUCUCUGAACACUCACUCAUGCUGAGGGGGGUUUGGGGUCACAGAGCUGCCUUUGAGUCUUUCCUGCUCCGGUGAGUGACACUGUGCCUAUAGACCUGUAGACGACCCCAACACACUCACUGGUUAGCCCAACUGGACUUGUGCUGAAUAGGUUUUGGUUUGUGGCUCGUGUCGUAUUUGGAGUGUGUGGGCAUUUGUUCACAUAUCUCUAGGAAAAGCCAUACAGCAGCUGUUGAAGAGCAGGGGUCCACUGCGGGCAUCAGAGUGUCCCCAUGUUGCCAUAAAGUGCAGUACGGCUUUGAAGACAGAGUUGCAGGCUGUUCUGGAACCAAAGAAAUAUGGUUGGGGAGCCAAGCUUUGUGGAUCUGGCCAGUAAAUCCCUGCUGCCUUAGAGUCCAGGUCAGGGUGUAAGCGAGUUCAAGCAUGCCCUGGCAACUUAAUGAGAUUCUUCUGUAAAAAUGAAAUGAAAUAAGAAGUUAUUGGAUAGAUGCCUAUUGACAUACCAAAGCUGACUCUGGCUGCCAGGUUCUCCCAGCAUCUCUCAGUCCCUACCUCUUACAGAGUCCUCAGGGCUGGCAUAUCUCACCCCCUAUCCUAAAUGUCCCCAGACCAGGGAUUGGGCUGGGCUGCCCUUCUCCUUUCCCCAGCAGCUCUUCCCUAUAUAACGCAGCCAUUUGAGUAUGAUGACCUCUUUGCCCAUUAGACCUCUUGGUCUCCUGACUCUCCCCUCACCCCUCUCUCUCUCCUCUUCUCCUCAUCUGACUCUGAUGGUCAUGUCCAUGCAGGGAUCUCCCAGGGGCCUCUGCCACUGGCUGUGCUGUUCCUCGUAUUGGCAAUAAACCUCCCUUCCCCUCCACCACAGCUAGGAGCACUCAGGUCUCCCUUUUAUUUCUUUCUGUGAUUCACCUGGUGCCGAAGCCAUGGAACUGGCUAAAUAACACUCCCCAUACCCUCCCCAAAGAACUCAGGAUCUUUGAAUCAAGCUGGUGAUCUGAUUCUCUUAAGGUACAUAUGGACCAUUUGUUUCUGCUGGGUCCUGCCAUCCAUCUAAUUUGACCCCAAAUCCUUUCUGAAAAAUGAUUUACUUGUUUAUUUUUAAUGUGCUUUGGUGUUGUGUCUGACUGUCUGUGUCACAACCUGACCGUUGUGUGGGUGUCGGUUCCUCCUGGAACUUGAGUUCCAGACAGUUUUGAGCUGCCAUGUCGGUGCUGGGAUGUGAACCCGGCCACCUAUGAAAGAGCAGCCAGGGCUCUUAAGUGCUGAGCCAUCACUCCAGCCCAGAUUCUAGUUUGCCUCCUCAACUCCUCCUCCCCUCCACGUGCUCUAACCAUGCCUCUCAUCCUCACUUCUCUGUUUUUAAUCUAAUCUAUUCCUUUAUUUGCAUGUGGCUGUUUGCCUCUGCUUGCCUGGCUGUGCAUCUCACGCAUGCAGUGCAUUUGCAGGCCAGAAGAGGGUGGCAGAUACCCUGGGUGUGGAUUUCUGUGUCUUGUGUGGCUCUUGGUGUGUGAUGGCUUCUCACCCAGGUUUUCAGGAUCAGCUGUCAGUGCUCUUAGCUGCUGGGCCCUCUCUCCUUUACCCACAGUCCCUUCUCAAGGAGCACAACUUCUCUGUUUCAUGAUGAAGCUCACUCUCUGGAGCCCUUUCAUUUCUUAGGGGUGCCCCUGAGCCUCAAAGGAAGCCAGUAGCUACAGAGGGCAACAUCUGUUUACUAACAGGCGCUGGACUUAUUGGAACAGAGUCAGUGCCAGUCAGUCACAGGAGCAAAUGGCCUCAUUUGGAAACAAGGUCCUCGCACAUGUAAUAUUUUAAGUUAAAACGAGACCACAGUGGAUGAGAAAAUGUCUUAAAUCCCAUGACUUGAAUUUGUAGAAAACCGCCAAAAUCAGGGUCUGACGAUAUGUCUGAGCAAUUCAGAGCAACUUUGGCUCAGUUAGGGACCAGGUAUCUGGGUCCAGGUGCUCACAUCAGGUGGGCUGCACAUCCUGUGAC